RNAcentral lists this ribosomal RNA (937 nucleotides) under uncultured bacterium. RNAcentral describes it as "bacterial SSU rRNA". It matches the Rfam family "Bacterial small subunit ribosomal RNA", at positions 8 to 944 of the family's 1533-position model. The record is from RNAcentral.
AGAGUUUGAUCCUGGCUCAGGAUGAACGCUAGCGGGAGGCUUAACACAUACAAGUCGAGGGGUAACAGGGGUAGCAAUACCUGCUGACGACCGGCGUACGGGUGAGUAACGCGUAUGCAACCUGCCCUAUACAGGAGGAUAGCCCGGAGAAAUUCGGAUUAAUACUCCAUGUAGCAUUUUUUUCGCAUGAAUUAGAUGUUAAAGAUUUAUCGGUAUAGGAUGGGCAUGCGUCCCAUUAGCUAGUUGGUGAGGUAACGGCUCACCAAGGCAUCGAUGGGUAUGGGGUCUUAAAGGAUGGUCCCACACACUGGCACUGAGACACGGGCCAGACUCCUACGGGAGGCAGCAGUGAGGAAUAUUGGUCAAUGGGUGAGAGCCUGAACCAGCCAUCCCGCGUGCAGGAUGACGGUCCUAGUGAUUGUAAACUGCUUUUCUAUGAGAUGAAUAAGAAUUACGUGUAGUUCGAUGACCGUAUUAUAGGAAUAAGCAUCGGCUAACUCCGUGCCAGCAGCCGCGGUAAUACGGAGGAUGCAAGCGUUAUCCGGAUUUAUUAGGUUUAAAGGGUGCGUAGGUGGGCGUUUAAGUCAGUGGUUAAAGCCAUUAGCUUAACUAAUGUAUGCCAUUGAUACUGGAUGUCUUGAAUGUGGUAGAGGUAGGCGGAAUGUGUUGUGUAGCGGUGAAAUGCUUAGAUAUAACACAGAACACCGAUUGCGAAGGCAGCUUACUAUUCCAUUAUUGACGCUGAUGCACGAAAGCGUGGGGAUCAAACAGGAUUAGAUACCCUGGUAGUCCACGCUGUAAACUAUGAUCACUCGUUUUUGGCGAUAUAUAGUCAGAGACUGAGCGAAAGCAUUAAGUGAUCCACCUGGGGAGUACGUUCGCAAGAAUGAAACUCAAAGGAAUUGACGGGGGCCCGCACAAGCGGAGGAACAUGUGG